Molecule: ribosomal RNA, 497 nt
Filed under: uncultured bacterium
Lineage: Bacteria
Description: partial 16S ribosomal RNA
Rfam family: Bacterial small subunit ribosomal RNA
Source: RNAcentral
GAUGAACGCUGGCGGCGUGCCUAAUACAUGCAAGUCGAGCGAACAGACGAGGAGCUUGCUCCUCUGACGUUAGCGGCGGACGGGUGAGUAACACGUGGAUAACCUACCUAUAAGACUGGGAUAACUUCGGGAAACCGGAGCUAAUACCGGAUAAUAUAUUGAACCGCAUGGUUCAUUAGUGAAAGACGGUUUUGCUGUCACUUAUAGAUGUAUCCAAGCCGCAUUAGCUAGUUGGUAAGGUAACGGCUUACCAAGGCAACGAUGCGUAGCCGACCUGAGAGGGUGAUCGGCCACACUGGAACUGAGACACGGUCCAGACUCCUACGGGAGGCAGCAGUAGGGAAUCUUCCGCAAUGGGCGAAAGCCUGACGGAGCAACGCCGCGUGGGUGAUGAAGGUCUUCGGAUCGUAAAACUCUGUUAUUAGGGAAGAAGAAAUGUGUAUGUAAAUCUGCACGUCUUGACGUUACCUAAUCAGAAAGCCCCGGCUAACUACGUG